AGCUUACAUAUCAAUUUUGAACUGAACAAUGAAAAAUAUUGAACCGAAUCACCAUUGAUCAAUCACCAAGUUUAAAUUGCUAGCUGAGACACAAAUAUGACAUAACAAAAAGCAGGAUUUUUCACUCACUGGGGUAUCAAAGACUUCAAAACUAAUGCAAGCCAUUACAAAAUUAUCAGCCAUGAAAUUUAAACAUAUCAAAGAAAUUAUAUUUACCAAUAACAAGAUUCAAAAUCUCACGUGGAAAAAAGAAAGAGAAGGGGG
Molecule: unclassified non-coding RNA, 264 nt
Filed under: Hevea brasiliensis (rubber tree)
Lineage: Eukaryota; Viridiplantae; Streptophyta; Magnoliopsida; Malpighiales; Euphorbiaceae
Source: RNAcentral